AUCUGGUUGAACUAGUAGGAAGAACACCCUUCUAAGGUGAAGGUAUUCCAUUUCUAAGAAGGAAGUUCUAUAUAUUCGAACUAGAGAGAAGCUCUAAAAUGGAAAUCGAGAAGGAACCCCUUGUCCGUCCAGGUACUCACCCCGUCGUAACUCGCAAUCAAACAUAGGGUUGGCAAACUAGGAAGGCACAGAAAAGAAGGCACUUGUGAUGGUGAGCAAGGUAUUUUUGAAUUUCCUCAAAUUGAUGAAUCAAUGAAGUAGUUGAAUUGAAGUAAAUGUGCCUACGAAAGAAGAG
RNAcentral lists this long non-coding RNA (295 nucleotides) under Hordeum vulgare. RNAcentral's name for it is "long non-coding RNA (HVUL_LNC016108)". The record is from RNAcentral. Lineage: Eukaryota; Viridiplantae; Streptophyta; Magnoliopsida; Poales; Poaceae.